GAUCUCAAAUCAGGUAGGACUACCCGCUGAACUUAAGCACAUCAAUAAGCGGAGGAAAAGAAACUAACAAGGAUUCCCCUAGUAACUGCGAGUGAAGCGGGAAAAGCUCAAAUUUAAAAUCUGGCGUGCCUCUGGUCGUCCGAGUUGUAGUUUAGAGAAGCGUUUUCUGUGUUGGACCGUGUAUAAGUCUCUUGGAACAGGACGUCAUAGAGGGUGAGAAUCCCGUCUUUGACACGGACUACCAAUGCUUUGUGAUAUGCUCUCAAAGAGUCGAGUUGUUUGGGAAUGCAGCUCAAAAUGGGUGGUAAAUUCCAUCUAAAGCUAAAUAUAGGCGAGAGACCGAUAGCGAACAAGUACCGUGAGGGAAAGAUGAAAAGCACUUUGGAAAGAGAGUUAAGCAGUACGUGAAAUUGCUGAAAGGGAAACGC
RNAcentral lists this ribosomal RNA (428 nucleotides) under uncultured fungus. Its description in RNAcentral is "eukaryotic LSU rRNA". It matches the Rfam family "Eukaryotic large subunit ribosomal RNA", at positions 1 to 422 of the family's 3401-position model. Lineage: Eukaryota; Fungi. The record is from RNAcentral.